UGAUCACAGUAUGUGAGGUGUGUCACACAGUCACACAGCCUCAGUGAGUCACAGCUUGCGAAGGGAACGUCCUGCUGCAUUCUGAGCGCUCAGUGGGACUUCACCUGCUCGGCCUCACACAGCUGACGGUCAAACCUGCUCAACUUGUUCUCAGCACUUUCAGUUUGGAGGAACUUUCCUGAAAAUGGCGCCGACAAAAUGGAGCUGGGGCCACGCUCGAGUCUCAGCAGCUUCCUUCAUCGAUCUGUUCGAACGCAGUGAGCCCAGGAUGAGACAGAUCACAGACCAACUGUGGAAAUUUGCUUAUGACUUGAGAAUCAAACUGAUUUAUUUAUUCGCAGCAGUGUUGGUAGGAUCACAUGUUCUGUUGGUUGUCAAUGCUAUGCUGUCUAAAGAUUUGUUUAUAUUGUUUCUAGUUGCAUGUCCCAUUUCUAUUUCUAUUGCUUUAAACCACAUGGCAUCAGAAAGUUUAAAUGAAGUGGACAGAUUAAGAGAAGAGUUCAGAAUGUUGGUUUUAUCAGUGACCUGUGGACUGGAGGGAGUAAAGAUCACGUGUGGAGAUCUGAGGAGGACAUCGGUCGGAGCUGAGACCUUGACGUUCAUCAGACUGGAAAUCACCAUCCUGGAGCUUCUGGCCUCGAGCGAAAAACUCAGAACACCUGCAUCUGUACUUCGACCUUCACAGGUGGCUCACGACUGCAGGAAGACUCUGGAUGGAUUUGCAAAGGUAAAAACAGAACUACAAUCAUUUGAAGAGUCUCAACGGAGAUUCAACUGUCAGAUCAGUUAGAAUUCAACAUCAGAAUGAAUCAGAAUCUGUUUCAAAGCGACGGUUCAUCAGAGGAAAUUGAAAACCUGCGUUGUGUUAAUGAAGAAUCUCUGUGUAUGAAUUUAUCAUGUGAUGAACUAAAAAGUAUUUGUCCAGGCUACGAAGGGUAAUAAAUAUAUAGUUUAUAUAUAUAUAUAUAUAUACUGUAUAUAUAUUAAACUAAAUGACUGUAUUUUAUUUUUUAAAUGUUCUCUGUUACAGAAACACACAUACAGACCACAUACUGUAUAUACAUCAGACAAACCAGAAUCCAUCUGUAAAUUAUCAAAUGUUUACUAUGUUGAAAUAAACAUCAUGAAGAAUG
Molecule: long non-coding RNA, 1133 nt
Organism: Scophthalmus maximus (turbot)
Lineage: Eukaryota; Metazoa; Chordata; Actinopteri; Pleuronectiformes; Scophthalmidae
Exons: 2
Source: RefSeq, a predicted model, not a curated record